CUGAAUCAGGCAUUCAUUCUUGGCAUUGAUAUGUAAGAUCCAUAAUUGCUGAUUGAGGAUGUGACAUUUCCAGAAAUAGCAGUUAGUGUAGCAAAGGACACAACACCGUUGGGAAGAUAAGUCAGAGGUGACAAGACCAUGCAGCUGCCAAAGAACAGGCAUGCCUUAGUACAUCAGUGUUAGACCUAACUGCAUUCAAGUGAUGUAGUCUUGAUGGACACUGAAGUCAAACUCUUUACUAAUACUGUCGUCUGAUUUCUGUGAUAUGCAUUGCCUGGGAUUAAUACUGGGGCUGUUACUGCUGCUUUUCAACCUGAUGGAAAGCAGCCAGAAUUAGAGCUGAGAAGAACACAGAGAACAGGCUGAACAUCCCCAGAUCUUUCAGGCUGUCCUUUUAAGAGAGGAUCAUUCUCUGGAUGUGCUCCAACAGGUCCAUGUCUCUCCUGUGCUGAGGACUCUACAUUUGGACACAAUACUCCAGCCUGUCUAGGUCCCUCUGGAUGGCAUCCUGUCUCUCCAGCAUGUCGACUAGACCCCACAGCGUGGUGUCAACAGCAAACUUGCUGAGGGUGUACUCAACCCAACUGUCAAUGUCAUUGAUGAAGUUAUUAAAAGAUUCAAACCUACACUUGAAUUCAUUUGAGAUAGUGUUUAUCCUCCUGACACAUCAACCAGUUGAACCCAGAAAAUAAAGGACAAGAAUUCCCCUUCUGAAGAAUGCUACAAGGGCUCUGGAAUAAUUGGAAUUUCAAUGUGUGGAUGAAAAGGAAAACCAUUGUAUAGGAGAUAGCUUAUUUUUUAACCUAUACACAGACUAUGGAAAUACAGACUAUGGAAGAGCUUGAGAAUGUAGGGAACACAAGUUUGAAUCCCCUGGUGUUAUGACAAGUCCUGAUCUGUCUAAUUUUAAGGAUGGAUACUUUUGAGAUGCAGGCUGAAUGCAAAUACAUUCCCUAUGUUGAGCCAAAACUGUGGGUACAUAUGUAUUCCUGCACAUUUAAUUGUAUUAUCCUUCUAAAUUGUUACAAUACUGAACUAAAAACGUAGAUAUUUGUACACAUGUCAAGGACAUUUUCAAAUUUUCUGUGAUGACAACAAUGAUAUUUUAUUUUUGUUACCUUAAUUUACAGACUCCUUUGGAGUCUCCUUUCCCAAUUUCAUCUUACAAACCAAGGCCACCAAGAAGUUAAAUUUCAAAUUUCAUUUGAAAAGAAAUAGGAAGAAAAUGCCACUCAAUCUGAAAACUGCUAUGGCCUGUCUUCUCCAAGCAAAUUUCAUGAAGUUAUAGUAUCUGUCCAAUUGCACUAUAGGAAAUCUAAAUUCAAGUCAUCCAAAAGGAAAUUAAUACUCAAAAUACCUGUGAAAUGUAGCAACUUUAGCACAGGGAAUACUAUAGAAUCAGAGAAUCAUCAAGGCUGAAAAUGACCACUAUUAUCAUCUAGUCCAAUUGUCAGCCAACUACCACCAUGCCCAAAAACCACUUCCCUCAGUGCCACACCCACACAUUUCUUGAACACCUCCAGGGAGAGUUACUUUGUCACAUCCUGGGCAGCCUGUUCCACUGCCUCACCACUCUAUCUGAGAAGAAAUUCUUCCUAAUAUCCAACCUAAACCUCACCAAGCACACUUUGUCUAGUGCCUCCAACAACAAGUAACAGUCAACACUUCUAAAGAGAAGC
Coturnix japonica (Japanese quail) is the source of this 1679-nucleotide long non-coding RNA. RefSeq lists it as uncharacterized. Lineage: Eukaryota; Metazoa; Chordata; Aves; Galliformes; Phasianidae. The record is from RefSeq and is a predicted model, not a curated record.